Molecule: non-coding RNA, 77 nt
Organism: Potamilus streckersoni
Lineage: Eukaryota; Metazoa; Mollusca; Bivalvia; Unionida; Unionidae
Source: the annotation of a GenBank genome assembly
GACCACUCUGGUGGCCUAGUGGUUAGAGCAUCUGACUUUGAUGUUGGAGGUCAUGGGUUUGAUCCCCAGCUGAGUCA